Molecule: ribosomal RNA, 465 nt
Filed under: Vreelandella stevensii
Lineage: Bacteria; Pseudomonadati; Pseudomonadota; Gammaproteobacteria; Oceanospirillales; Halomonadaceae
Description: partial 16S ribosomal RNA
Rfam family: Bacterial small subunit ribosomal RNA
Source: RNAcentral
CCUACGGGUGGCAGCAGUGGGGAAUAUUGGACAAUGGGCGAAAGCCUGAUCCAGCCAUGCCGCGUGUGUGAAGAAGGCCUUCGGGUUGUAAAGCACUUUCAGUGGGGAAGAAAGCCUUGGGGCUAAUACCCUCGAGGAAGGACAUCACCCACAGAAGAAGCACCGGCUAACUCCGUGCCAGCAGCCGCGGUAAUACGGAGGGUGCGAGCGUUAAUCGGAAUUACUGGGCGUAAAGCGCGCGUAGGCGGUCUGAUAAGCCGGUUGUGAAGGCCCCGGGCUCAACCUGGGAACGGCAUCCGGAACUGUCAGGCUAGAGUGCAGGAGAGGAAGGUAGAAUUCCCGGUGUAGCGGUGAAAUGCGUAGAGAUCGGGAGGAAUACCAGUGGCGAAGGCGGCCUUCUGGACUGACACUGACGCUGAGGUGCGAAAGCGUGGGUAGCAAACAGGAUUAGAUACCCCGGUAGUC